GACUCUGCCCUUCUGUGCAACCACAUGAUGUCAACAGUGGGUCCAGAAUACUCGUCGACAAGAUCUCCUGCACCGAACUCCAGAGUACUUGUCAGCCAACUGUUGUCUUUGUUCUUUACACUUUGAACUUGACCAGUUUUCCAACAAGCAUUAUGUACA
Long non-coding RNA from Amblyraja radiata (thorny skate), 159 nucleotides. RefSeq lists it as uncharacterized. The record is from RefSeq and is a predicted model, not a curated record. NCBI's taxonomy places the organism in Eukaryota, Metazoa, Chordata, Chondrichthyes, Rajiformes, Rajidae. The transcript is spliced from 5 exons.